Cyprinodon tularosa is the source of this 413-nucleotide long non-coding RNA. RefSeq lists it as uncharacterized. The transcript has 3 exons. NCBI's taxonomy places the organism in Eukaryota, Metazoa, Chordata, Actinopteri, Cyprinodontiformes, Cyprinodontidae. The record is from RefSeq and is a predicted model, not a curated record.
ACCACCAUCACGCUGCUGAUCAUUCCCGCACUGAGAGCCACCAACCAGCUGUCCUUGGGGAAAACCUACAAAAAGGGGAAAGUAUUGUUAGGCUGCAUUCUGAGCAUGACAGGAGUGAGUUUCCAACAGGGAUCAUCAUUAGCCUACCCCUUCAUAGCAGCUAGGUCUAAUUUUAGCUCUGCGAAACAGAGGAAUGGCUCUAAAAUUAGCACCUGUGUUACAACACACAACAGCAGCAGAAGUCUAACCAGUUUCUAAUGUGCCUUUCACCAUGCUGGCAGACACUGGCCUGAGCUCAUAAAAGCAAACAGAUGUUACCAAGGAACCAUGGAGGACAAACAGGCCCGCAGCAUCAGACAUCCUCCCCCGUGUAUAACAACAGAACAAAUUGUUUUAUGACUGAAAUCUUUGGU